CCUGUGGCGGAAGCUACCAUGACAGUCGAGCGGUAGCACGGGGGUAAGCUCUGCUCCCUGGGUGACGAGCGGCGGACGGGUGAGUAAGGCUUAGGAACCUGCCUUUGCGAGGGGGACAACAGUUGGAAACGACUGCUAAUACCGCAUAAUGUCUGUGGACCAAAGAGGGCUUCGGCUCUCGCGCAAAGAGGGGCCUAAGUGAGAUUAGCUAGUUGGUAGGGUAAAGGCCUACCAAGGCGACGAUCUCUAGCUGUUCUGAGAGGAAGAUCAGCCACACUGGGACUGAGACACGGCCCAGACUCCUACGGGAGGCAGCAGUGGGGAAUAUUGGACAAUGGGGGCAACCCCUGAUCCAGCCAUGCCGCGUGUGUGAAGAAGGCCUUCGGGUUGUAAAGCACUUUCAGUGGUGAGGAAGGGGGAGUUGGUUAAUACCCAGCUUCAUUGACGUUAGCCCACAGAAGAAGCACCCGGCUAACUCCCGUGCCAGCAGCCGCGGUGAAUACGGAGGGUGCGAGCGUUAAUCGGAAUUACUGGGCGUAAAGCGCACGCAGGCGGUCUGUUAAGUUAGAUGUGAAAGCCCCGGGCUUAACCUGGGAGUUGCAUUUAAAACUGGGCAGACUAGAGUCUUGGAGAGGGGGGGGUGGAAAUUCCAAGGUGUAGCCGGUGAAAUGCGUAGAGAUCUGGUAGGAAGCAUCAGAUGGACGAAGGCUGGCCCCCCUGGCCCAAGACUGACGCUCAUGUGCGAAAGCGUGGGUAGCGUACAGGAUGAGGAUACCCUGGGUAGUCCGCAGCGUAAACGCAUGUCUACUAGCUGUCUGUGGAUUCAAUUGCGAUGGCUAGCGCAGCAACGCGAUCAGUAGAUCGGCAUGUUGAAGUACGGACCUCAGGUGAAGCUCAGAGUGCAUGACUUGGACCUGCACAACAGUGGGACAUGUGAUUAGUUCAGUCUAUCCCGUAAAAAG
Molecule: ribosomal RNA, 962 nt
Filed under: Bowmanella sp.
Lineage: Bacteria; Pseudomonadati; Pseudomonadota; Gammaproteobacteria; Alteromonadales; Alteromonadaceae
Description: bacterial SSU rRNA
Rfam family: Bacterial small subunit ribosomal RNA
Source: RNAcentral